RNAcentral lists this long non-coding RNA (300 nucleotides) under Cyanistes caeruleus (blue tit). RNAcentral describes it as "lncRNA (ENSCCEG00000001200.1)". Lineage: Eukaryota; Metazoa; Chordata; Aves; Passeriformes; Paridae. The record is from RNAcentral.
CUCCCCUCCUCAGGCAAGUGAAUGUGAAAGGCACCGUGCUGAGAUGCUGGAACAAUGGCAAGAAGAGAAGGCAAAGAGAGAGCGGGAACACGAGAAGGUGCUGCUUGAGCUGAGGCAGAAAGUUGCCACCCUGCAGGUCCAGCAGCUCAGGCAGGAGGUGAAAGAGCAGCAAGAGAAGGGACAGGUAAGUCUGAGUAGGCAGGGAAUGGAGUGCAGGGCAGGGACAAGGGCACAAAAGGCAGCUCCUGGGACUGAGGAGGCAAGGGCUGCCUCAGGCUGUGGGAGCACAGAGCCUGGUAA